Molecule: ribosomal RNA, 253 nt
Filed under: uncultured bacterium
Lineage: Bacteria
Description: partial 16S ribosomal RNA
Rfam family: Bacterial small subunit ribosomal RNA
Source: RNAcentral
UACGUAGGGCGCAAGCGUUGUCCGGAAUUAUUGGGCGUAAAGAGCUCGUAGGCGGCUUGUCACGUCGGUUGUGAAAGCCCGGGGCUCAACCCCGGGAGGCGGGUGGAUACUGCUGAGCUUGAGUCCGGAAGAGGCGAGUGGAAUUCCAGGUGUAGCGGUGAAAUGCGUAGAUAUCUGGAGGAACACCGGUGGCGAAGGCGGCAUCCUGGACCGGCAUUGACGCUGAGGAGCGAAAGCCAGGGGAGCAAACAGG